UGGGGAAUUUUGGACAAUGGGCGAAAGCCUGAUCCAGCAAUGCCGCGUGUGUGAAGAAGGCCUUCGGGUUGUAAAGCACUUUUGUCCGGAAAGAAAUCCUUGGCUCUAAUACAGUCGGGGGAUGACGGUACCGGAAGAAUAAGCACCGGCUAACUACGUGCCAGCAGCCGCGGUAAUACGUAGGGUGCAAGCGUUAAUCGGAAUUACUGGGCGUAAAGCGUGCGCAGGCGGUUUGCUAAGACCGAUGUGAAAUCCCCGGGCUCAACCUGGGAACUGCAUUGGUGACUGGCAGGCUAGAGUAUGGCAGAGGGGGGUAGAAUUCCACGUGUAGCAGUGAAAUGCGUAGAGAUGUGGAGGAAUACCGAUGGCGAAGGCAGCCCCCUGGGCCAAUACUGACGCUCAUGCACGAAAGCGUGGGGAGCAAACAGGAUUAGAUACCCUGGUAGUCCACGCCCUAAAACGAUGUCAACUAGUUGUUGGGGAUUCAUUUCUUAGUAACGUAGCUAACGCGUGAAGUUGACCGCCUGGGGAGUACGGUCGCAAAGAUUAAAACUCAAAGGAAUUGACGGGGUCAUAGCUG
Molecule: ribosomal RNA, 580 nt
Filed under: uncultured bacterium
Lineage: Bacteria
Description: partial 16S ribosomal RNA
Rfam family: Bacterial small subunit ribosomal RNA
Source: RNAcentral